UACAGAGGUGGCAAGCGUUGUUCGGAAUUACUGGGCGUAAAGGGCGCGUAGGCGGCCUUCUAAGUCAGACGUGAAAUCCCCCGGCUUAACCUGGGAACUGCGUCUGAUACUGGGAGGCUUGAGUAUGGGAGAGGGAUGUAGAAUUCCUGGUGUAGCGGUGAAAUGCGCAGAUAUCAGGAAGAACACCCGUGGCUAAGGCGGCUCUCUAGUACGGUACUGACGCUGAGGCGCGAAAGCGUGGGGAGCGAACAGG
RNAcentral lists this ribosomal RNA (253 nucleotides) under uncultured bacterium. Its description in RNAcentral is "partial 16S ribosomal RNA". It matches the Rfam family "Bacterial small subunit ribosomal RNA", at positions 524 to 776 of the family's 1533-position model. The record is from RNAcentral.